This 253-nucleotide ribosomal RNA is filed under the name uncultured bacterium. RNAcentral describes it as "partial 16S ribosomal RNA". It matches the Rfam family "Bacterial small subunit ribosomal RNA", at positions 524 to 776 of the family's 1533-position model. The record is from RNAcentral.
UACGAAGGGGGCUAGCGUUGCUCGGAAUUACUGGGCGUAAAGCGCACGUAGGCGGCUUUCUAAGUCGGGGGUGAAAUCCUGGAGCUCAACUCCAGAACUGCCUUCGAUACUGGAAAGCUCGAGUCCGGGAGAGGUGAGUGGAACUGCGAGUGUAGAGGUGAAAUUCGUAGAUAUUCGCAAGAACACCGGUGGCGAAGGCGGCAUCCUGGACCGACACUGACGCUGAUGAGCGAAAGCCAGGGGAGCAAACGGG